AUAGAAUUCUAGCACAUGUACCUAGCUAGAAAGUAAUAGAACUCUCUAGACUCUCUAGAAUUCUCCAUAGAAUUCUAGCACAUGUACAUAGCUAAGAAAUGGUAGAACUCUCUAGACACUCUAGAGCUUAGCAAGCCUCCCCUAUAAAUAUGGGAUGGCAUUUGGCAUUUGAAUAACACACAACACACAACAUAUCAAGCCAAAAGAAUCAAAAAACAAGUUUGAGUAAUAAAAGUUUCUCUUCUCCAAAAUCUUUCUACUCUUCCAAAAUUCCCUUAGCCUAAAAGCCUCCCUCCAAAUAUUAAUAGCAAUCCUCUUCCAACAUGAUAUUGAUAUUGUGUAUGGUAUUAGGAGCAUGGGUCCCUUCUUGGCUAUGGUUGAAAUUUUUGUCUUUAUUGGGAUCACUUUUUGGAGGGUUAGUGUAGUUUUGGUAGUUUUGGGAUGAAGAUUUUUGAGAGGUUUUGGAGUAUGACACUGUUUUUAUUGAUCAUGAGAAUUUAAGUGUGUAUUAGUUGAGAUACUUGUUUGUGUGGUUGCGUUGGUAGUAGUUUUAGGUGUAUUAGAUUUGCCAAUUGGACACUUUAAACUUGUAUGCCCUAGACAUUCACAGUUAAUACAUAUUGAAGUGGGAUCUUCAUAAUGAAUUGUUGCAAAUAUGUUCCUAGAAGCACAUUUUUUAGUAGGGGUUUAUAAAUUGGCGCUAGAAUGCAAAGACGAGCAUAACAAUCUCUAGUAGUUUGAACUGUGCAUAUGUCAUUCUUUAGUAUCUUGCCUAUAUGAUUUGCUAUUUUUUGGAGUAUUCUAAGUCAUAAUAUUCAUUUGAUUAUUCUUUUAGGCAAAUCCAAGUGGUUGAUAUGUUAAUAUCUGCAUUGGCCGGGUUGAAUUUGAGUUCCCAUUGUCUAAUAGUAAGGUAUUGGGAUCUAAUAAACUAUGUUCUCAGGAUUUAGUUGUAGUUGUCUAAAUUUGAGAUUUGUACUAGAUAGUAUU
Molecule: long non-coding RNA, 987 nt
Filed under: Nicotiana benthamiana
Lineage: Eukaryota; Viridiplantae; Streptophyta; Magnoliopsida; Solanales; Solanaceae
Description: long non-coding RNA (NBEN_LNC021751)
Source: RNAcentral